Astatotilapia calliptera (eastern happy) is the source of this 1222-nucleotide long non-coding RNA. The record is from Ensembl. Lineage: Eukaryota; Metazoa; Chordata; Actinopteri; Cichliformes; Cichlidae.
CCAAACAAACAUGCAAUCCACUAAAAUAUGGAGCCAACAAAUACCCUACAAUAUUUGAGAGAAAAUCCCAAUAAUCACACAAUCCCCUAAGAGGAAACACUUGGCAACAGUGGAAAAGAAGAACUCUCUUUUAACAGGAAGAGACCAGAACCAAACUUAGGGAGGGGUGGUUUUCUGCUAUAAACAACUGGGGGAGAUGAGGGAAAAGGAAAGAAAAGAACAUAGAAAGAUGACGAUAAAACACAAACUGGGGUUGAGUAGACAAACAUCACAUCAUGGCACAUCAAUGGAAUUGUAGUGUUCAGUGCAUCACCGGAAGUCCUGUUGCAGCACAACUAAGUAGAGGACUGUGAUAGCUGAAGUCUGUCUUCCAUUCUACUUUUAGGACAACAAGUAAGCCUCCACUCAAAGAGAAAAGUACUGUCUUAAGCUGAUAACGUGAUCAUCACAGUAUCAUGAACUACUGUAUGCAGGUAUCAAGCCACCAAAGUCAAGUAUUCUGAGAGACACAUCCAAGGAAUGAAUGAAUAAAUAAAUAAAUACAAUUUAUCAUACACUUUACAUUACAUACAGUACAUUCCCUUGAGUAAAUACCAUAUUUACACAUGCUAUCUGGGUGACUGGAUGUGAGGCAGCCUCUCGCUACAAGUUGCACGAUACGGAUCAGUCAUUUGUGUGGAAACACGGCCACAUCAAGUCACUUUGCCGGAGCCUUUACCCUCGUAGAUCGAACCCCUUCCUCUGGAGCCGUGGCUCCACUGACCCAGCCCGCCAGACCUGUCCGGAGGGUGAGCGUGCCGAGGAGGGGAGCCAGAUAAGCUAGACGGAGAGCGGCUACGGCCCUGCAGUGCCCCGCCGUCGCGGAGCUCCCGGGACGGGGAGGAGCUGAGCGAACGCUGUAGGGAGGAAGAUGAGCUGCGAGGGCAAGGAGGCGGGCUGAAGAGCAUCCCGCUGCGGUCCUGCAUCAGCUGGGUCAGGCUCGCCAGGAAGUCUGCGUCGCUGGUGCUGCUGGCACGCACCCUUAACCGCCGCCGUCUGCAAAAAAAACAAAAAAACAAAACUAAUUCUCAGCAGCUAUUUGAAUUACUGUGUAUUAGUAUUAGCUGCUAUCAUUAGGAUUAUUACAUAUUUAUUUAUCGUUCUAAUUUAUUAUAGCAAAGAACCUACUUUUUAUUAUUCUGUUAUUUUAAUAGUAUGAUUGUUUAUGUUUGUCUGUAUACAC